Molecule: ribosomal RNA, 200 nt
Filed under: uncultured organism
Description: partial small subunit ribosomal RNA
Rfam family: Bacterial small subunit ribosomal RNA
Source: RNAcentral
GUCAAGUCAUCAUGCCCCUUAUGUCUUGGGCUGCACACGUGCUACAAUGGCCGGUACAAUGAGCUGCGAUACCGCGAGGUGGAGCGAAUCUCAAAAAGCCGGUCUCAGUUCGGAUUGCAGGCUGCAACUCGCCUGCAUGAAGCCGGAGUUGCUAGUAACCGCGCGUCAGCCAUAGUGCGGUGAAUACGUUCCCGGGCCUU